Molecule: ribosomal RNA, 1562 nt
Filed under: Vibrio alginolyticus
Lineage: Bacteria; Pseudomonadati; Pseudomonadota; Gammaproteobacteria; Vibrionales; Vibrionaceae
Description: bacterial SSU rRNA
Rfam family: Bacterial small subunit ribosomal RNA
Source: RNAcentral
AAAUUGAAGAGUUUGAUCAUGGCUCAGAUUGAACGCUGGCGGCAGGCCUAACACAUGCAAGUCGAGCGGAAACGAGUUAUCUGAACCUUCGGGGAACGAUAACGGCGUCGAGCGGCGGACGGGUGAGUAAUGCCUAGGAAAUUGCCCUGAUGUGGGGGAUAACCAUUGGAAACGAUGGCUAAUACCGCAUGAUGCCUACGGGCCAAAGAGGGGGACCUUCGGGCCUCUCGCGUCAGGAUAUGCCUAGGUGGGAUUAGCUAGUUGGUGAGGUAAGAGCUCACCAAGGCGACGAUCCCUAGCUGGUCUGAGAGGAUGAUCAGCCACACUGGAACUGAGACACGGUCCAGACUCCUACGGGAGGCAGCAGUGGGGAAUAUUGCACAAUGGGCGCAAGCCUGAUGCAGCUAUGCCGCGUGUGUGAAGAAGGCCUUCGGGUUGUAAAGCACUUUCAGUCGUGAGGAAGGUAGUGUAGUUAAUAGCUGCAUUAUUUGACGUUAGCGACAGAAGAAGCACCGGCUAACUCCGUGCCAGCAGCCGCGGUAAUACGGAGGGUGCGAGCGUUAAUCGGAAUUACUGGGCGUAAAGCGCAUGCAGGUGGUUUGUUAAGUCAGAUGUGAAAGCCCGGGGCUCAACCUCGGAAUAGCAUUUGAAACUGGCAGACUAGAGUACUGUAGAGGGGGGUAGAAUUUCAGGUGUAGCGGUGAAAUGCGUAGAGAUCUGAAGGAAUACCGGUGGCGAAGGCGGCCCCCUGGACAGAUACUGACACUCAGAUGCGAAAGCGUGGGGAGCAAACAGGAUUAGAUACCCUGGUAGUCCACGCCGUAAACGAUGUCUACUUGGAGGUUGUGGCCUUGAGCCGUGGCUUUCGGAGCUAACGCGUUAAGUAGACCGCCUGGGGAGUACGGUCGCAAGAUUAAAACUCAAAUGAAUUGACGGGGGCCCGCACAAGCGGUGGAGCAUGUGGUUUAAUUCGAUGCAACGCGAAGAACCUUACCUACUCUUGACAUCCAGAGAACUUUCCAGAGAUGGAUUGGUGCCUUCGGGAACUCUGAGACAGGUGCUGCAUGGCUGUCGUCAGCUCGUGUUGUGAAAUGUUGGGUUAAGUCCCGCAACGAGCGCAACCCUUAUCCUUGUUUGCCAGCGAGUAAUGUCGGGAACUCCAGGGAGACUGCCGGUGAUAAACCGGAGGAAGGUGGGGACGACGUCAAGUCAUCAUGGCCCUUACGAGUAGGGCUACACACGUGCUACAAUGGCGCAUACAGAGGGCGGCCAACUUGCGAAAGUGAGCGAAUCCCAAAAAGUGCGUCGUAGUCCGGAUUGGAGUCUGCAACUCGACUCCAUGAAGUCGGAAUCGCUAGUAAUCGUGGAUCAGAAUGCCACGGUGAAUACGUUCCCGGGCCUUGUACACACCGCCCGUCACACCAUGGGAGUGGGCUGCAAAAGAAGUAGGUAGUUUAACCUUCGGGGGGACGCUUACCACUUUGUGGUUCAUGACUGGGGUGAAGUCGUAACAAGGUAGCGCUAGGGGAACCUGGCGCUGGAUCACCUCCUUAAACGAUGAU